RNAcentral lists this unclassified non-coding RNA (258 nucleotides) under Hevea brasiliensis (rubber tree). The record is from RNAcentral. Lineage: Eukaryota; Viridiplantae; Streptophyta; Magnoliopsida; Malpighiales; Euphorbiaceae.
CUCUCGCCUCCGAAACCCUAGCCUGCUGCACUGCUGUUUGUUUCCUUGCAAAAAUUUGUGAGUCAGAGGAGUGAGAGAGCGAGAGAAGCGACUGAAAAGCGGUAAAAGUCUCCUGAAGCUCGAAGCUCUUUCGAUACUACAAAAACGCGUCGUUUCAGUACAAUAAAACGGCAUUGCAUUGUCAACACUGCAUGCCGUUUAAUUAGCCCCAUGGUGCCUGCACAUUUGCGAAACGAUGGUCGUGGUCGCGACUGUAAU